Molecule: ribosomal RNA, 460 nt
Filed under: uncultured bacterium
Lineage: Bacteria
Description: partial 16S ribosomal RNA
Rfam family: Bacterial small subunit ribosomal RNA
Source: RNAcentral
CCUACGGGAGGCAGCAGUGAGGAAUAUUGGUCAAUGGACGCGAGUCUGAACCAGCCAUGCCGCGUGCAGGAAGACUGCCCUAUGGGUUGUAAACUGCUUUUAUACGGGAGUAAAGUGCGGCACGUGUGCCUUUUUGUAAGUAUCGUAUGAAUAAGGAUCGGCUAACUCCGUGCCAGCAGCCGCGGUAAUACGGAGGAUCCGAGCGUUAUCCGGAUUUAUUGGGUUUAAAGGGAGCGUAGAUGGGUGGUUAAGUCAGUUGUGAAAUUUUGGGGCUCAACUGUGAAAUUGCAAUUGAUACUGGCAGUCUAGAGUACAGUGGAGGUAGGCGGAAGGCAUGGUGUAGCGGUGAAAUGCUUAGAGAUCAUGAAGAACACCGAUUGCGAAGGCAGCUUACCAAACUGCGACUGACGUUGAGGCUCGAAAGCGUGGGUAGCAAACAGGAUUAGAUACCCUAGUAGUC